UACGGGGGGUGCAAGCGUUGUCCGGAAUCAUUGGGCGUAAAGCGUUCGUAGGCGGCAAGGUAAGUCUGAUGUUAAAGCCCGGGGCUCAACCCCGGCCCGCCGUUGAAACUGGCAGUCUCGAGUUGGAGAGAAGUAUGCGGAAUGCGCGGUGUAGCGGUGAAAUGCAUAGAUAUCGCGCAGAACUCCGAUUGCGAAGGCAGCAUGCCGGCUCCACACUGACGCUGAGGCACGAAAGCGUGGGUAUCGAACAGG
This 252-nucleotide ribosomal RNA is filed under the name uncultured Bacteroidales bacterium. RNAcentral describes it as "partial 16S ribosomal RNA". It matches the Rfam family "Bacterial small subunit ribosomal RNA", at positions 524 to 776 of the family's 1533-position model. The record is from RNAcentral. Lineage: Bacteria; Pseudomonadati; Bacteroidota; Bacteroidia; Bacteroidales.